This 4686-nucleotide long non-coding RNA is filed under the name Sus scrofa (pig). RNAcentral describes it as "lncRNA (ENSSSCG00000060002.1)". Lineage: Eukaryota; Metazoa; Chordata; Mammalia; Artiodactyla; Suidae. The record is from RNAcentral.
AUACUAUCACUGGGGUAAAUAAUUCCAUCAUGGCAGAUUCCACACUACUAACUUGAUAUCACUGCAUGUAGUCUUGGGAAAGAGAUAUGCACAGUUGACUUUUACAAGUUGGUAUGAGCUUGUGCAGACACACUAAUAAAACUUUUUCUUCCCACUACACAAGACAAUUGAGAGGGACAAAAAUUGUAGAGAGCAGAGUAUUCCAACACCCUGUCAUGCCCUAGGUGCAUUAAAUGAAGCACACAAGUAAAAUGACACAAAUAGAUUGGAAAAUAUUCUCCUUUGCAGUCUUAAAACAUUAACAAUGUUCAUUCAACCCUAAGAAUAAAAUAGUAUUUGGUUCUUUGUCUAUUAACCUGCUUUCAGUUUUGAACUCUAUCCUAUAAAUGGCCAUCAGAGAUAUAUUUCUAAAAUGCUAAUGUGGGGGAGAAAAAAAUAACUUUCCCUCUACCCUUCUGAGUUCUUGGCUGAAACCUACCACUCCUCAUCCCCAUAAUAAGAGACAGGUUAACAGUAUUGUGGUCCAUGCAUGGGUUGGAAAAAGAAUGUCCAGACUCAUAGCAAGGUGAAGAGAAAGAAGAGUUUAUUGGGAUGAGAAAUGCUGUUAGCACAGCUGGACAACCUCCAGAAAAUCAGGUAUUGCUAACCCUGAGCACAUGGUUUUGUCUGUUUUUAUAUCCUAGAGAGAGGAGAGGUCUUGCAGUACACUAGCCUAUCUGCUGACUGGUUGGGAAAAGAUGUGUCUUACAAUAGACUCACUGGUAGAUUGGGGGUGUACUAUUCCCCUAUGGGGGUGGGAUGAGGAGUGGGCCACAUGUCUUUGCUAGUAGGGGUUAGGAAGAAGCAGGCCAGGUUGCUCAAGCAGGAGAGGGAUUGUUACAGUGAGGCAGGAAGGGUGAUAAGGAUCUGGUAAUUCUUGUCUCAGCCAUAGACUUUUUGAGUUUUAUUUCUUAUGUGAGCCCUUGAGGUCUCGCAAACAGGAGAAAAACAAAAGUUUAUUAAGACAUAUGUACCUCCUACAUAUAUGGGAAAUACACAGGAUAACUGAGUAACCAAUUCAAAUUGCCCAAGCCACCAGCUUAAAUGCUAUCUCCAGCUAAAGACAAAAAAGUUUUGGAGAUUGAGGUGAGGACCCAGUUACGGGAAAUCAUUUGAGCCUUUCUUAGGCCUGCUCUUGAUUAAUACUAAUGCUUAUACCAAAGAGGCAUAUUCUGGAAUGACAAAUUCUGUUCUCCUUAACUAAUAUAAUCUGUUCUGCUGUUCUACCAGCUCUUUAAAUUUGUCUGAUGCAUCUAUUUCAUGUUUGUUUUAUGUUCUUUACCUGCUUAUAUUUUAAAAUUAGAAAUGUAUAAAAUAAUUGUAAAAACUCUGUAGGUCUAUGACAGAUGCAUACUGUAAAUAAUUCUUUCCUUCAAAUCUAUCUUAGGUAUGGUUAUGUGUGUGCGUGUGUCUGUGUAUAUGUAUAAAUGUUUUUGAAGGUUACAUCAUACCAUACACUUUUGUAUUCAUUUUCCUUAAAAAGAAAUAAUCAGCAUUUUAUGUAUGAUAAAAUUUCUGGUAAACAUAUCAAUGCAACUAGAGAUUCUCAUACUAAGUCAGAAAGAGAAAAAAAAAAUACCAUAUGAUAUGAGUUAUAUGUGGACUGUAAAAUACGACGUAAAGGAACCUAUCUACAAAACAGAAAUGGACUCACAGACAUAGAAAAUAAACUUGUGGUUGCCAAGGGAGAAGGGGAAGGGAGUGGGAAGAACUGUGUGUUUGGGGUUAGUAGAUACAAACUAUUACAUCCAGAAUGGAUAAGCAAGGAGGUCCUAUUGUAUAGAAUAGGGAACUCUAUCCAGUCUCUUGAGAUAGAACAUGAUGGAAGAUAAUAUAAGAAAGGGAAUGUGUAUAUGUGUAUGACUGGGUCACUUUGCUGUACUGCAGAAAUUGCCACAACAUUGUAAAUCAACUAUACUCUAAUAAAAAAUAGAAUUAAAAAAACUUAGUUAUUUACUAUUACAAAUAAUGCUCCGAAAACACAUUAUUUUUUUACAUGUGUUUCUGAUUUCUACCCAACCCCCCUUGGAAUAGCAUCCCCCAAAUGAAAGGAAUGUUGUAAAAGAUAGGAGUUGACGGUUUGAUGGUACAUAAUUCACAAGGCUUACAAGAAAGGUAAGAGAAAAGUAAACCCCCUAAGAUACCCUUCAGAUUUUUCUCAGAUUGAUAAAAUUUUAGAUAGGCUUCUUCCUGACUCUUGGCCCUUCACUUCCUUCUAUCAUUUACUUUAGAAAACUUGUUCAUUUUUUGUCUUCCCUUUGAGAUGUAAAUCUCUUUAAAAACCUCUUGCUAGUUUUACUAUCCAGGACUGUCUGAAAGACCUGAGAGUCCUUCCUGUGGAAAUUAAUCCUCCAGGAAGAUAGGUCCUUAACAGGGAGGUAAUUGAAGCUACUUUGCCUUUGGGUGAAGCCAGUCAGCGAACACAGAUGACCCAAGAUCCUCCCUACCCCAGCUCUGAAAACUCUCCAGCCCUCUGUUUCUGGAGUUGAGAUUCAACUCUGGCCUCUUCCUUCUAUUUUAAUAGCUUCAACUACCAUCUUCUCUGGCCAGUGUAAUAUUAAAUUUGACCCCUGUUAAUAGACUGAAUUGUGCCUUUAACUCCCCAAAUUCAUAUGUUGAAGUCUUAGCUCCAAGUACCUCAAGAUGAUUAUAUUUGGAGAUUCGCCCUUUAAAGAGCUAAGUAGGUAAAGUGAGGUCAAAUGGGUUGGCCCUAAUCCUAUAUGACUGGUGUCCUUACAAGAACAGAAGAUUAGGACACAGACAUACAGAGGGAAGACUAUUUGAAAAUACAGGGAAAAGAUAGCCACUAUUAGCCAAGGAGAGAGGCCUUAGGAGAAACCAACCCUGUAAAAGCCUUGACUUUCGAUGACUUCUCUCUAGAAUUGUGAGAAGAUAAGUUUCUGUAGUUUAAGCCAUUUAGGCUGUGACACUUGGUUUUGGUAGCUGUAGUAAACUAAUAUAACAACUCUGCACUAAUGGAAUAUGAAAGGGCCUGUCUUGUUGCAACUUAGUAUUUAAUACUAAACAUUUUAAAGUAUUUGAUGAUUUAGUAAAUUCAGAACUGUUUUUUACUUGCUUUGUGUUUACAUUAAUUAGUAGUAAGAUUUUAUGUUUUCUGUUUGUCCAUUGUAUUUAUCCUUUUUAAACUAGUCAUGGCCUGACCCAUUAUUGUGUGUGUGUGAUCUUAAUGUUGAUAAAAAUCUAUUUGAAUGUCCUUUCAUAUUUAAGUAUUAAGUAAUUUUUCAGUUUGUCAUUUUUUGCUAUACUUUCAAGAGGAAAUUUUCAUAAUUUAUUACUUUGUUGAUGACAAAUGUCUUUUAUUUUUUUAUUUUUUAUUUUUUAUUUUUUGCUUUUUAGGGCCGCACCCAUGUUAUGGAAGUUCCCAGACGAGGGGUUGAAUCAGGAAUUGGAGCUGUAGCUACCAGCCUGCACCACAGAUCACAGCAACCCCAGAUCCUUAACUAACUGAGUGGGGCCGGGGAUUGAACCCGCAUCCUCAUGGAUAUUAAUAGGAUUCGUUUCCACUGAGCCACAAUGAGAACUCCCCACACAUGUCUUUUUAUCCAAGGAACAGAUACAUAACUUUUUUUGGGAUACAUUUUCCUAGGAUUCUUCUAGUAUUUCUAUGAUUAAAAAAAAUGGUUAAACGCUUUAAACCAUCUGGAUUUUAUUCUGGAAUACUUUAGGGCUUGAAUACUUAAAUAGAUUCUUUUUCUAACAACUCUUAGCAUUUACUAAACAGUAUUUUUAUUGACUUGGAUUAUUUAUCACAUGUUAAAUGUUACAUUAUUAAGAAACAUUUCUAAGUUAUAUCUUCUAUUUAUGUUUAUAUGUAUGCAUGCUACUAUAAUAUUAUGAAACUUUUUGUGAUAAUAUAUAUCCUUUCUCAAUACUUCUUAUAAAAAUUUCUUGGCUAGUCAAAUUUCUAUAAUUAUUUUUCUAGUCGAAAUUCUAUAAUUUCAUUACUUCUAUUUUAAACUUACAGUCCCAUUAGAAUGUUAUUUUGGGGAGAAUUAACGUUGUUACAAAUAAUUUAUUCCCAUUCAGUAACAGGAUAUUUUUGUAUCUGUUUGUUUAGAUAUUUUACAUGCAUUUCUAUAGAGACGAACAGUUGGUCUAUUUAAAAGCAUAUGCCAAGCUAGCUAUUACUUCCUUUUCUUUCUUUACUGUUGUUAAUGGUUUGGUUAAUGGUUCCCCUUGUUCAUUGAAUAAUGUGUUCCUUUGAUACCUGAGAAAAUCUUUUAGCAAACAUUAAUGGUAUAAAUAUUUUAGAGUUUGUUUUCUUUUAUUUUCAAGUUAAUGUUGUUGAAAUGUGCUCCAUUUCUAAAAAUUAUAGCUGUUACUUUGCUUCAUCAUUUUGCAUUUUAGAACUUGCAGAAUGAAGUUAUUACUGAUACUAUGAGAUGUACUGUUCCCACCUUUAACAAGAAAUUUCUAGUAUUUUAUUACAUGUAAGAUUGAUUUGAACAGGAGUAACCAUUGUGGUUCAACAGAAGCGAAUCUGACUGGUAUCCAUGAGUAUGCGAGUUUGAUCCUUGGACUUGCUCAGUGGUGAGCAGUCUGGCAUUGCCUUGAGCUGUGGUGUGGCUCACAGACACGGCUUAGAUCCUGUGUUGCCAUGGCUGUGGCAUAGGCCAGCAGCUGCAG